RNAcentral lists this non-coding RNA (68 nucleotides) under uncultured Cetobacterium sp. RNAcentral's name for it is "Cyclic di-GMP-I riboswitch". It matches the Rfam family "c-di-GMP-I riboswitch aptamer", at positions 6 to 83 of the family's 87-position model. From Rfam's summary of the family: GEMM was predicted in a large-scale screen for bacterial structured RNA regulatory elements. Genes associated with GEMM are involved in a diverse array of functions, including chemotaxis regulation, signal transduction, secretion and chitin. Lineage: Bacteria; Fusobacteriati; Fusobacteriota; Fusobacteriia; Fusobacteriales; Fusobacteriaceae. The record is from RNAcentral.
AAAAAAUGGCAAACUAUGGGAAACUGUAGGACGCAAAGCUAUAGGGCCUAAAAAAGGCAGCCAGUUGC